RNAcentral lists this unclassified non-coding RNA (788 nucleotides) under Fragilariopsis kerguelensis. RNAcentral's name for it is "sequence contains ITS1, 5.8S rRNA gene, ITS2, 28S rRNA gene". The stretch from base 296 to 450 matches the Rfam family "5.8S ribosomal RNA". Lineage: Eukaryota; Bacillariophyta; Bacillariophyceae; Bacillariales; Bacillariaceae. The record is from RNAcentral.
UUUAUUGUGAAUUAGAUUUCAGUGUCAGUUCUGUUGCCUAUUGGUUAUCUACUGUCACUGUCGUCAAACUUUCUUUUUGUUUGAUUCUGACUUGCCUGCAUUCGUGUGGCCAAGCUUGGUUUCAUUCAGUGACCUAUGAUUCAUUUCAUUUCAUUAUGUCAAGUUUCAUUUGUCACACCCCCCAUCUUUUACGAUUGGCAACUGGAAAGAACCAAAUGACCUAAAGCUAAAAUGCAGUGGUCUGGUGUUGAGCCAAGUGCCAACACUACCCUGUACAUUAUACCUAAUGACUUACAACUUUCAGCGAUGGAUGUCUAGGUUCCCACAACGAUGAAGAACGCAGCGAAAUGCGAUACGUAAUGCGAAUUGCAAGACCUCGUGAAUCAUUAAGAUUUUGAACGCACAUUGCGCUUUCGGGAUUUUCCCGGUAGCAUGCUUGUCUGAGUGUCUGUGGAUCCCACUCAGCGUUGGUAUAUGUAUGUAUACCAACUGCUGGUUGUUUUGGCUUUGACUGCUCUAGUAGCUGUCUCUGCCUAAGUUCUACAAACAUUGUACGUGCAUAGAUUCUGAAAUGUUUGACCCUGUCUUGUGAAAGACGGCGUUGAUGUUCUUGUCUAUCUCUGGUAGCUUGUAUUUAUUUACAUUUUGUCUGGAGUUUAUUUAAGGAUGUUAACACUAGCUGUUUUGACUCAAUUCGGUCGACCUUUCUAGAUCUGGCUUGUAGUUGUAAUUAACUUACACUGCUAGCUAUCCAAUCCGGAUCUCAGAUCAAGCAAGAGGCCCCAAAC